This 465-nucleotide ribosomal RNA is filed under the name uncultured bacterium. Its description in RNAcentral is "partial 16S ribosomal RNA". It matches the Rfam family "Bacterial small subunit ribosomal RNA", at positions 28 to 507 of the family's 1533-position model. The record is from RNAcentral.
GACGAACGCUGGCGGCGUGCUUAACACAUGCAAGUCGAACGGAAAGGCCCCUUUGGGGGUACUCGAGUGGCGAACGGGUGCGUAACACGUGAGUAACCUGCCCUUGACUUCGGGAUAACUUCAGGAAACUGGGGCUAAUACCGGAUAGGAAUCCUUGCUGCAUGGUGGGGGUUGGAAAGCUUCGGCGGUUUUGGAUGGACUCGCGGCUUAUCAGCUUGUUGGUGGGGUAGUGGCUUACCAAGGCUUUGACGGGUAGCCGGCCUGAGAGGGCGACCGGCCACAUUGGGACUGAGAUACGGCCCAGACUCCGACGGGAGGCAGCAGUGGGGAAGAUUGCACAAUGGGCGGAAGCCUGAUGCAGCAACGCCGCGUGCGGGAUGACGGCCUUCGGGUUGUAAACCGCUUUCAGCAGGGGCGAAGCUUGUGGUGACGGUACCUGCAGAAGAAGCACCGGCUAACUACGUG